RNAcentral lists this ribosomal RNA (446 nucleotides) under uncultured bacterium. Its description in RNAcentral is "bacterial SSU rRNA". It matches the Rfam family "Bacterial small subunit ribosomal RNA", at positions 331 to 794 of the family's 1533-position model. The record is from RNAcentral.
CCAGACUCCUACGGGAGGCAGCAGUGGGGAAUAUUGCACAAUGGGGGGAACCCUGAUGCAGCGACGCCGCGUGGGUGAAGGAGUACUUCGGUACGUAAAGCCCUAUCAGCAGGAAAGAAAAUGACGGUACCUGACUAAGAAGCCCCGGCUAACUACGUGCCAGCAGCCGCGGUAAUACGUAGGGGGCAAGCGUUAUCCGGAUUUACUGGGUGUAAAGGGAGCGUAGACGGCAGUGCAAGUCCAGAGUGAAAGCCCGGGGCUCAACCCUGGGACUGCAUUUGAAACUGUCAGGCUGGAGUGCAGGAGAGGUAAGUGGAAUUCCUAGUGUAGCGGUGAAAUGCGUAGAUAUCAGGAGGAACACCGGCGGCGAAGGCGGCCUGCUGGACCGUGACUGACGUUGAGGCUCGAGAGCGUGGGGAGCAAACAGGAUUAGAUACCCCAGUACU